Molecule: small nucleolar RNA, 104 nt
Organism: Heterocephalus glaber (naked mole-rat)
Lineage: Eukaryota; Metazoa; Chordata; Mammalia; Rodentia; Bathyergidae
Source: Ensembl
AGCCUUCUGGCUGCAUAAAAAGAGAAAGCAGACUAAGCCUACCCCUAUAUACACCUCAGCCCAGGCCUCACGCAUGGUCUGUAUUAUGAUGUAAGGACACAGAG